This 477-nucleotide ribosomal RNA is filed under the name uncultured bacterium. Its description in RNAcentral is "partial 16S ribosomal RNA". It matches the Rfam family "Bacterial small subunit ribosomal RNA", at positions 30 to 507 of the family's 1533-position model. The record is from RNAcentral.
AUUGAACGCUGGCGGCAUGCCUUACACAUGCAAGUCGAACGGUAACAGGUUAAGCUGACGAGUGGCGAACGGGUGAGUAAUGUAUCGGAACGUGCCCAGUCGUGGGGGAUAACUGCUCGAAAGAGCAGCUAAUACCGCAUACGACCUGAGGGUGAAAGCGGGGGAUCGCAAGACCUCGCGCGAUUGGAGCGGCCGAUAUCAGAUUAGGUAGUUGGUGAGGUAAAGGCUCGCCAAGCCGACGAUCUGUAGCUGGUCUGAGAGGACGACCAGCCACACUGGGACUGAGACACGGCCCAGACUCCUACGGGAGGCAGCAGUGGGGAAUUUUGGACAAUGGGCGCAAGCCUGAUCCAGCCAUGCCGCGUGCGGGAAGAAGGCCUUCGGGUUGUAAACCGCUUUUGUCAGGGAAGAAAAGGUUCUGGCUAAUACCUGGGACUCAUGACGGUACCUGAAGAAUAAGCACCGGCUAACUACGUG